GCAAAGUGGAGCCCACCUCCAGCAUGGAUAAAAAAACUAAUAAAAAUUUAAACUGCGCAAAUUUUUCUUAAGCACAUUCAACCAUUGCAAAAUAGAGGCACAAUGUCUUGGAGACCCAUUCUACUUACCUAACCAGGAACAUGCCUCAGUUCCAGUUCUGGGUAUAAAACGAAACAAAAUUUUAAUGGUUUCUUCAGCACUGUAUAAUGAAUGCAAAAUCUCCACUGAGAAGAAUUUCAAGCAAAGCACCACCAUCAAUAUAGAACUCAGAAAGGCGAUGGCUAUAGUAUAUUAACAAACCAUUCGCAGCAGAGUUCAUGAAUGUGAGCAAAGCAACUGGGUAUGGGGGUUGGGGUUCUGUGGGAGUGGGGUAGAAAAAACCAGAGGGAGAGGAUGAUGGGUCUCGAUGGGGAAGUGGGGGAGCGGAGAAGAAAUUGGAGGAGGUGUAAGAAAUCAGUAGGGGUGGGGAGGGGCGGUGGGGUUUUAGGUUCUGCCCUUGGAGAAUGGGUUGUCGGGGAAGGGGGCCCACGGGUUUCUGGUUCUGCGCAAGGAGCGGGUGGGUUGCGGGUUAGGGGGAGUGUUGUGCGGAAGCGUCAACUAACUGUAAGUGAAAAAUAAACAACAACUUACAAGAGAUAAAAAAAAAAAAAAGGAUAAACAGUCGAAAACCCCCCUAACUAUAACACUUGUCGAGAUGUCCACCCUGAAUAAUUUUUUUAGCCAAUUUAACCAUCAGACUAUUUUAAAUGUUCAAUUUAACUCCCUCCGUUAGUUUCCAUGUAGUUUCAUCCAAUUUUCUGUUUAAAUGUCACGUGUUAGGCACGUUAAAAGUUAAAUUUUUAAUGUUUAAAAUAAUUAAAUGUUUAAAAUUACAAAACUGAAAGAAGAAAAAAAAAAGGGAAAAACAAAGGGAAGGCAAUCAAUGUCUUCCCCAACC
This 937-nucleotide long non-coding RNA is filed under the name Prunus persica (peach). RNAcentral's name for it is "long non-coding RNA (PPER_LNC001725)". The record is from RNAcentral. Lineage: Eukaryota; Viridiplantae; Streptophyta; Magnoliopsida; Rosales; Rosaceae.